RNAcentral lists this ribosomal RNA (537 nucleotides) under Paenisporosarcina quisquiliarum. RNAcentral describes it as "bacterial SSU rRNA". It matches the Rfam family "Bacterial small subunit ribosomal RNA", at positions 337 to 866 of the family's 1533-position model. The record is from RNAcentral. Lineage: Bacteria; Bacillati; Bacillota; Bacilli; Caryophanales; Caryophanaceae.
UCCUACGGGAGGCAGCAGUAGGGAAUCUUCCACAAUGGACGAAAGUCUGAUGGAGCAACGCCGCGUGAGUGAAGAAGGUUUUCGGAUCGUAAAACUCUGUUGUAAGGGAAGAACACGUACGAGAGUAACUGCUCGUACCUUGACGGUACCUUAUUAGAAAGCCACGGCUAACUACGUGCCAGCAGCCGCGGUAAUACGUAGGUGGCAAGCGUUGUCCGGAAUUAUUGGGCGUAAAGCGCGCGCAGGCGGUCCUUUAAGUCUGAUGUGAAAGCCCACGGCUCAACCGUGGAGGGUCAUUGGAAACUGGGGGACUUGAGUACAGAAGAGGAAAGCGGAAUUCCAAGUGUAGCGGUGAAAUGCGUAGAGAUUUGGAGGAACACCAGUGGCGAAGGCGGCUUUCUGGUCUGUAACUGACGCUGAGGCGCGAAAGCGUGGGGAGCAAACAGGAUUAGAUACCCUGGUAGUCCACGCCGUAAACGAUGAGUGCUAAGUGUUAGGGGGUUUCCGCCCCUUAGUGCUGCAGCUAACGCAUAAGCA